RNAcentral lists this transfer RNA (85 nucleotides) under Fusarium torreyae. It matches the Rfam family "tRNA". Rfam says of the family: Transfer RNA (tRNA) molecules are approximately 80 nucleotides in length. The record is from Rfam by way of RNAcentral. Lineage: Eukaryota; Fungi; Ascomycota; Sordariomycetes; Hypocreales; Nectriaceae.
UCCGGUGUGGUGUAUCGGUUAUCAUUCCGCGUUUUCAAGCAAUUGAAAAACCGCGGCGAGCGGGGUUCGACUCCCCGCACCGGAG